Molecule: non-coding RNA, 83 nt
Organism: Dunaliella salina
Lineage: Eukaryota; Viridiplantae; Chlorophyta; Chlorophyceae; Chlamydomonadales; Dunaliellaceae
Source: the annotation of a GenBank genome assembly
GGGGGUAUAGUUCAGUGGCAGAACAUCUCGUUCGCAACACUCGUUUCACGAGAAGGUCCGGAGUUCGAUCCUCCGUGCCUCCA